AGUCAAUGCUCUAAAGAGUGACCUUGUUACUUAUAAAGAUUAUACUUAUUAAUAUAAAUUAUUAAUAUAUUUUUUAAUAUAUAAAAUUUAUAUAAUAUUUAUAUAUAAUAAUAUUAUUUAUUAAUAUAUAUAUAUAAAUAUAAAUAGAAAAGAUAAGGAAAUGUGAAUUAAAAAAUCUUAGUAACAUAAAUAAAUAAUGAUUAAUUAUGUGAAGAAGUCUUAACAAAAAGUGGUGCCAGCAGUUGCGGCUAAACCGUGGAGGCAAACGUUAAUAAUUUAGGCUUAAAGGAUCCGUAGAACGUUAUUUAAAUAAAAAUAAUAGAGUUAUAUAAAAAGAUCUAAGAAUAAUAUAAACUGAGCGAUGAAAUGUUUUGAUCUAUAUUAGACUACCAAAAGGUGAAGACUUAAAUCUUAAUAAUAACUGACGUUGAGGGAUGAAGGCAUAAGGAGUAAAAUAGAUUAGAUACCUAAUGUAAUUUAUGCAGUCAACGAUGAUUACUAGAAAAAAACAAAAGCGAAAGCAAAGUAAUUCGCCAGGUGAGUAUAUUUGCAAAAAUGAAAUCUAAAACAAUAGACGGUUAUAAAUUUAGGCAGUGGAUGAUGUUAU
Molecule: ribosomal RNA, 607 nt
Filed under: Wenyingozyma methanosorbosa
Lineage: Eukaryota; Fungi; Ascomycota; Pichiomycetes; Pichiales; Pichiaceae
Description: [Candida] methanosorbosa partial small subunit ribosomal RNA
Rfam family: Bacterial small subunit ribosomal RNA (bases 277-535)
Source: RNAcentral